GACGAACGCUGGCGGCGUGCUUAACACAUGCAAGUCGAACGGAAAGGCCCUGCUUUUGUGGGGUGCUCGAGUGGCGAACGGGUGAGUAACACGUGAGUAACCUGCCCUUGACUUUGGGAUAACUUCAGGAAACUGGGGCUAAUACCGGAUAGGAGCUCCUGCUGCAUGGUGGGGGUUGGAAAGUUUCGGCGGUUGGGGAUGGACUCGCGGCUUAUCAGCUUGUUGGUGGGGUAGUGGCUUACCAAGGCUUCGACGGGUAGCCGGCCUGAGAGGGUGACCGGCCACAGUAGGACUGAGAUACGGCCCAGACUCCGACGGGAGGCAGCAGGGGGGAAUAUUGCACAAUGGGCGGAAGCCGGAUGCAGCAACGCCGCGUGCGGGAUGACGGCCUUCGGGUUGUAAGCCGCUUUCGCCUGUGACGAAGCGUGAGUGACGGUAAGGGGUAAAGAAGCACCGGCUAACUACGUG
This 468-nucleotide ribosomal RNA is filed under the name uncultured bacterium. Its description in RNAcentral is "partial 16S ribosomal RNA". It matches the Rfam family "Bacterial small subunit ribosomal RNA", at positions 28 to 507 of the family's 1533-position model. The record is from RNAcentral.